This 613-nucleotide ribosomal RNA is filed under the name uncultured bacterium. RNAcentral's name for it is "bacterial SSU rRNA". It matches the Rfam family "Bacterial small subunit ribosomal RNA", at positions 888 to 1498 of the family's 1533-position model. The record is from RNAcentral.
GCAAGACUGAAACUCGAAGGAAUUGACGGGUCUCCGCACAAGCGGUGGAGCAUGUUGUUUAAUUCGAAGAUACGCGAAGAACCUUACCAGGUCUUGACAUCUUCUUGACCGCUCUAGAGAUAGAGUUUCCCUUCGGGGCAAGAAUGACAGGUGGUGCAUGGUUGUCGUCAGCUCGUGUCGUGAGAUGUUGGGUUAAGUCCCGCAACGAGCGCAACCCCUAUUAAUAGUUGCUAACAUUAAGUUGAGGACUCUAUUGAGACUGCCGGUGAUAAACCGGAGGAAGGUGGGGAUGACGUCAAAUCAUCAUGCCCCUUAUGACCUGGGCUACAAACGUGCUACAAUGGCCGGUACAAAGAGUUGCCAACCCGCGAGGGGGAGCUAACCUUUUAAAACCGGUCUCAGUUCGGAUCGAAGUCUGCAACUCGACUUCGUGAAGUUGGAAUCGCUAGUAAUCGUGGGUCAGCAUACCACGGUGAAUACGUUCUCGGAGAUUGUACACACCGCCCGUCAUACCACGAGAGUUUGUAACACCCGAAGUAAGUGGCCUAACCAAUUUAUUGGAGGGAGCUUCCUAAGGUGGGAUAGAUGAUUGGGGUAAAGUCGUAACAAGGUA